Molecule: ribosomal RNA, 305 nt
Filed under: uncultured bacterium
Lineage: Bacteria
Description: bacterial SSU rRNA
Rfam family: Bacterial small subunit ribosomal RNA
Source: RNAcentral
CUUUCCCUACGGGGCGCAGCAGUAGGGAAUCUUCGGCAAUGGACGAAAGUCUGACCGAGCAACGCCGCGUGAGUGAAGAAGGUUUUCGGAUCGUAAAACUCUGUUGGUAGAGAAGGACGUUGGUGAGAGUGGAAAGCUCAUCAAGUGACGGUAACUACCUAGAAAGGGACGGCUAACUACGUGCCAGCAGCCGCGGUAAUACGUAGGUCCCGAGCGUUGUCCGGAUUUAUUGGGCGUAAAGCGAGCGCAGGUGGUUUAUUAAGUCUGGUGUAAGAGGCAGUGGCUCAACCAUUGUACGCAUUGGA